Non-coding RNA from Mucidula mucida, 85 nucleotides. Lineage: Eukaryota; Fungi; Basidiomycota; Agaricomycetes; Agaricales; Physalacriaceae. The record is from the annotation of a GenBank genome assembly.
GACUUCGUAGCUCAGUGGUUAGAGCAUGCGAUUGCAGCGUAGCAGCAAUAUCGCAGGGUCACGUGUUCGAAUCACGUCGAGGUCU